Molecule: long non-coding RNA, 3726 nt
Filed under: Anthonomus grandis grandis
Lineage: Eukaryota; Metazoa; Arthropoda; Insecta; Coleoptera; Curculionidae
Description: uncharacterized LOC126745782
Source: RNAcentral
CUCGUUCCCAUAACAGUUUCACUUGCCAAAUAGUUCAAAAAAAUAAAUUACGUCAUAGUAUUGAAUCCACCGACUAAAAAUUAUAUCGCAAAUAAAAAUCGACCUUCGAAAUUUACUACCGCCUGUUCCUGGCGUAAAUAUUUGUCUCAUGCAAAAAUUCGGUAUAAACACCUCUAGAGGUUGUAAAAAGUUAAUGGCUCGCUUAAAAUAGCUCAACAAUAAUUAAUUACUGCUUUAUAAUACAUUUCUUAAGCUUGUUUUCGUUAACACUGUUUUGGGUGAUUGCAUGAUGCGCCACGCCACAAGGACCAAAUAUUAACAAACAACACUUGCUUGGAUUUAGAUAAAGAGAAUGCUAUCAGUGGAUUGGGAGAAGAGAGCCAAUGGAAUAGCCGGCGAGAUCACCAGAUCUAACUUUUUUCUCUGGGGUCACUUAAAAACUGUUAUGUUUAAAACGAAACUAGCUUCACUCGAUGGUGUUCGGCAACGAAUUUUUACAGAAUGUGUAUCUAUUCCAAGAGAAGUGUUUCAUGUUAGAAAUUAAUUUGAAAAUAAAUAAUUCUUUUGUUUAGACUAAAAUAAUCUAGAAUUUAAGCAUCUUAUUAGUGAACACUUUAUAAAAACAGCCUUCCAUACAUUUCCUUGACCCUGUGUAAAAUUAGGAAAGAUUCUUGUGCAGGUGAAUACUAUUUUAAAAGUUCUUAAUUUAAGAUAUAACAAAGGGGGUGAAGCCAUUUAAAAUUCUGGGAUUGGGGUCCAUCCAGCCCAAGGGGUGACUCAGCCUAUAACCAAAAUAUAGUUGUUGCAGUUCUCCCUACCUGUAUAACAUUUGAAUCGGUGAGUUUGAAAACCGUACAAGUCCAAAAUUUGACAUUUGUAAGUAAGACAACCAUUUUGUUUAAAAUUUGUCUUUUCAUCGAUUGAACUUCAAAACCGUACUAGAUACUUAGUCGUUAACGUAGCACGGCUGCUAGUGAGGAGAAAAACCGUACAUGUCAAUGUUGUACGGUUUUUCAGCUCAACAACAAAAUAGUGGCCAGUUGCUUAUUUGCACGCACAGCGUUCACUUCGUGUGUAUGUUUAUCAUAAAAAAUAGCUUAGUAGCAGCGUUUUAUUAACAAUUUAAAGUAAAAUUAUGUCAUCCAGUGAUAAUGAAGAAGUUAGUGACACUAGUAGUGCCAGCAGAAAAAGGAAAAGGAAUGUUGAUCGUUGGAAAUAUAAUGCAAUAAAAACAGCACGUUCGCAAGGUCAGGCAUAUGUUUCUAAGACGGGUAAACAUGUCAAUGCAAAGACUGUAGGCUUUGCGUGUAGUUGUACAAAAAAAUGCAUGGAACAGUUUACUGAGGAAGAAAGAAAAAGUAUGUUAACUAAUCUACUUAGCCGUACGACAAAAAAUGAACAAGAUACUUAUUUACAAGGACUAAUGGAAGCUAAACAAAUCGAGAGAAAUCGCGUGAGAAGUGCGGAAAACAACCAAGAAAGAAAAUCAAACUUUUCGUACUUUGUCUUAAAAGGCUCAAAUAGAAUUUCCGUAUGCAAAUAGGCAUUUAUAAAUCUUCAUGCCAUAUCGCACCGGCAAGUUCAGCCCCUGAACACCCUACUUUUGGCAGGUAAAUCACCAAACGAUCUUAGAGGUAGGCAUAAUAAUAGACCUCGUACAUUAUGCGAUGAAUGGACUCAAAAAAUUAAAGAACACAUUCAGGCGUUUCCGGUCAAAGUUUCACAUUAUUCCUCAAAAACCGUACGUUAUUUAGAUGCAUCUUUGACUGUAAAGAAAAUGCAUAGCCUUUUUGUCGAAAUAUAUCCAGAGUUGGAAAACUUAGUUAAAUACGAAUUCUAUUUAAAGUAUUUCCACGAAAACUUCAAUUUGAAGGUUGAUGUAUGUUCGGAAUGCGAAAAAUAUGGAACGAGGCUUAAAGAUGUUAACCUUAACGAUAACGCAAAGAGAGUGGUUGCAGCUGAACUAAUAGUUCAUAAAAGGCGGGCGAAAAAGUUUUAUAACAAAAUUAAAGAAGUGCAAACCCUUUGUACUGAACGACCAGAAGUGAUGGGACUAGCCUUUGAUUAUAUGCAAAACAUGCCACUCCCGCAUAUUUCGGUCCCGGAAAUAUUUUAUUUUAGGCAGCUCUGGGUAUUCGCAUUCCAAAUACACUACGUUAAGGAUAAUACUGGCCAUUUUUAUACUUACCAUGAAGGUCAAGGUCAAAAGGGACCUAAUAAAGUGUGUACAUUUCUUAAUGAUUAAUGAUUGAUUGAGUAUGAGAUGGCGUGCGAGUAGUUAGCAUCGUCUUCGCACACGCUCCUUGAUUUUUGUUGUUUAUGGAGUCAUUACCUAAGUUUAUUAAAUAAUUUUCAAAGUUUUGUCAUAAGUGCAGCACAGUCAAUAUUAAUUCCAAGUAGUUGGGUUAAAAUAGUUCCAGUGCAGUGAAAUAUUGGUGUUUAACUGAUUCCAAGUUGUUGUUCCUGUCCGCCAUAAUGGGAUUCUCAUCUACUGACCUGCGCGAGAUUAAAUCGCAAGUAAUAAGCAUUUUUAAUGACAAAUUUCUGCAAGAAAUUGUCGAUAAAAUAGUCUCCCGCAUUGAAAAACAGUUUGAGGAGAAGCUAAACUUAUUAAAUAAUGAUUGCUCUGUCCUGGUGAAUAGGUGUACUAUUCUGGAGGAUAGAGUCCUUGAGCUGGGACGGGAAAACAUAAAACUGCGCACCACAACAGAUUGCGUUGAACAAUCCCAACGAAACAUGAAUAUACGCAUUUUUGGGCUGCCCAUGGACGUAAACGAGAACCUGCAUUCAAAAGUAACCGAAUUGUUUACCGAACAGCUAAAAGUAAAUAUUAAUAGAUCGGAUAUAAAAAAGUGCUUCCGUGUUUUGGCCAAGGCACGCAAUGAUAGUCCUCCUGCAGUUCUCGUGAACUUCGGUAGUGAUAUGGCUCGUGUUUCGGUACUAAAAGGUCGCAAAAAUUUGAAAAACAGUAAUAUAUUUAUAAAGGAAGAUUUAACUAAAAAUCGCCUUUUUCUACUUAAUAAGGCCAUUGACUUGUUUGGUGUCAAAAACGCAUGGGUCCUGAAUGGAGUUAUUUAUACUAAAUUUAACAAUAAAGUACAUCGUAUACCUAGUGAAAGUGACUUAAUUAAAAUAAAGUCUGCUUAGCUUAAUAAUGGACAGUAAUUUAAUACGUUUUGUUAUUGUUAUCAAUACUCAGCAAUUUCGAUUUUCGUAAGAGGCCAUUCGUUUUUGCCGUGUGAUCGGGAUUUUGGCUGUGCAAAACGGAAUUUUAAAAAACAUGAUCGAAUUUACACUCCAGAAGAAUAUGAGGACUUAAUAUUGACCUCCAGGAACAAGCAGCCAUUUACUAUGAAGCAGAUCCGAUACACUGAUAUUACUAAUUUUAAGAACUAGUGGCCUGAUUACUAUAAAAAAACAUGUAGUACUCGAGGUACCGGUGCUAAGAAGGAAACGUUUGCUGUGUCAAACUAUAGGCAGUUGCUGUAUGAAAGUUCAAAUCCAGGAUAUGUUAAAACGUGGGAAUAUAUAGAUGGUUUAUACUCCCAAACUUUUAAAUUGCUCAAAGAACAUAAGCACAGCCCACCUCUGCCCAAUAAUAAGGCAUAUAAAGAACCUGUUCCGAUUAAUGAAAAAAAAAAAUCUGGACUUCAAGAAGGUUCUGACUUUUAUGGAAUUUUAUUACCACAUCACUUCAUGGAAAACUACAAACGCUGAAAAGCAUGA